UCCCAGGUGGUCUGGUGUUUAGGAUUUGGAGCUCUUAUUGCUGUGGCCCAGGUUCGAUCCCUGGUCUGGGAA
RNAcentral lists this transfer RNA (72 nucleotides) under Sus scrofa (pig). It matches the Rfam family "tRNA". From Rfam's summary of the family: Transfer RNA (tRNA) molecules are approximately 80 nucleotides in length. Their secondary structure includes four short double-helical elements and three loops (D, anti-codon, and T loops). Further hydrogen bonds mediate the characteristic L-shaped molecular structure. tRNAs have two regions of fundamental functional importance: the anti-codon, which is responsible for specific mRNA codon recognition, and the 3' end, to which the tRNAs corresponding amino acid is attached (by aminoacyl-tRNA synthetases). tRNAs cope with the degeneracy of the genetic code in two manners: having more than one tRNA (with a specific anti-codon) for a particular amino acid; and 'wobble' base-pairing, i.e. permitting non-standard base-pairing at the 3rd anti-codon position. The record is from Rfam by way of RNAcentral. Lineage: Eukaryota; Metazoa; Chordata; Mammalia; Artiodactyla; Suidae.